AGUCGAACGAACUCUGGUAUUGAUUGGUGCUUGCAUCAUGAUUUACAUUUGAGUGAGUGGCGAACUGGUGAGUAACACGUGGGAAACCUGCCCAGAAGCGGGGGAUAACACCUGGAAACAGAUGCUAAUACCGCAUAACAACUUGGACCGCAUGGUCCGAGUUUGAAAGAUGGCUUCGGCUAUCACUUUUGGAUGGUCCCGCGGCGUAUUAGCUAGAUGGUGAGGUAACGGCUCACCAUGGCAAUGAUACGUAGCCGACCUGAGAGGGUAAUCGGCCACAUUGGGACUGAGACACGGCCCAAACUCCUACGGGAGGCAGCAGUAGGGAAUCUUCCACAAUGGACGAAAGUCUGAUGGAGCAACGCCGCGUGAGUGAAGAAGGGUUUCGGCUCGUAAAACUCUGUUGUUAAAGAAGAACAUAUCUGAGAGUAACUGUUCAGGUAUUGACGGUAUUUAACCAGAAAGCCACGGCUAACUACGUGCCAGCAGCCGCGGUAAUACGUAGGUGGCAAGCGUUGUCCGGAUUUAUUGGGCGUAAAGCGAGCGCAGGCGGUUUUUUAAGUCUGAUGUGAAAGCCUUCGGCUCAACCGAAGAAGUGCAUCGGAAACUGGGAAACUUGAGUGCAGAAGAGGACAGUGGAACUCCAUGUGUAGCGGUGAAAUGCGUAGAUAUAUGGAAGAACACCAGUGGCGAAGGCGGCUGUCUGGUCUGUAACUGACGCUGAGGCUCGAAAGUAUGGGUAGCAAACAGGAUUAGAUACCCUGGUAGUCCAUACCGUAAACGAUGAAUGCUAAGUGUUGGAGGGUUUCCGCCCUUCAGUGCUGCAGCUAACGCAUUAAGCAUUCCGCCUGGGGAGUACGGCCGCAAGGCUGAAACUCAAAGGAAUUGACGGGGGCCCGCACAAGCGGUGGAGCAUGUGGUUUAAUUCGAAGCUACGCGAAGAACCUUACCAGGUCUUGACAUACUAUGCAAAUCUAAGAGAUUAGACGUUCCCUUCGGGGACAUGGAUACAGGUGGUGCAUGGUUGUCGUCAGCUCGUGUCGUGAGAUGUUGGGUUAAGUCCCGCAACGAGCGCAACCCUUAUUAUCAGUUGCCAGCAUUAAGUUGGGCACUCUGGUGAGACUGCCGGUGACAAACCGGAGGAAGGUGGGGAUGACGUCAAAUCAUCAUGCCCCUUAUGACCUGGGCUACACACGUGCUACAAUGGAUGGUACAACGAGUUGCGAACUCGCGAGAGUAAGCUAAUCUCUUAAAGCCAUUCUCAGUUCGGAUUGUAGGCUGCAACUCGCCUACAUGAAGUCGGAAUCGCUAGUAAUCGCGGAUCAGCAUGCCGCGGUGAAUACGUUCCCGGGCCUUGUACACACCGCCCGUCACACCAUGAGAGUUUGUAACACCCAAAGUCGGUGGGGUAACCUUUUAGGAACCAGCCGCCUAAGGUGGGACAGAUGAUUAGGG
Molecule: ribosomal RNA, 1455 nt
Filed under: Lactiplantibacillus plantarum
Lineage: Bacteria; Bacillati; Bacillota; Bacilli; Lactobacillales; Lactobacillaceae
Description: bacterial SSU rRNA
Rfam family: Bacterial small subunit ribosomal RNA
Source: RNAcentral